UACGUAGGGUGCUAGCGUUGUUCGGAAUCAUUGGGCGUAAAGCGCGUGCAGGUUGUUAGUUAAGUCAGAUGUGAAAUCCCUGGGCUCAACCGAGGAAGUGCAUUUGAAACUAACUAGCUAGAAGAUGGUAGAGGAAGGUGGAAUUCCAAGUGUAGAGGUGAGAUUCGUAGAUAUUUGGAGGAAUACCGGUGGCGAAGGCGGCCUUCUGGACCAUUCUUGACACUGAGACGCGAAAGCGUGGGUAGCAAACAGG
This 253-nucleotide ribosomal RNA is filed under the name uncultured prokaryote. Its description in RNAcentral is "partial 16S ribosomal RNA". It matches the Rfam family "Bacterial small subunit ribosomal RNA", at positions 524 to 776 of the family's 1533-position model. The record is from RNAcentral.